Molecule: ribosomal RNA, 557 nt
Filed under: uncultured bacterium
Lineage: Bacteria
Description: bacterial SSU rRNA
Rfam family: Bacterial small subunit ribosomal RNA
Source: RNAcentral
ACGGGUGAGUAACGCGUGGGAAUCUACCCAUCUCUACGGAAUAACGCAUGGAAACGUGUGCUAAUACCGUAUACGUCCUUCGGGAGAAAGAUUUAUCGGAGAUGGAUGAGCCCGCGUUGGAUUAGCUAGUUGGUGGGGUAAAGGCCUACCAAGGCGACGAUCCAUAGCUGGUCUGAGAGGAUGAUCAGCCACACUGGGACUGAGACACGGCCCAGACUCCUACGGGAGGCAGCAGUGGGGAAUGUUGGACAAUGGGCGCAAGCCUGAUCCAGCCAUGCCGCGUGAGUGAUGAAGGCCCUAGGGUUGUAAAGCUCUUUCACCGGUGAAGAUAAUGACGGUAACCGGAGAAGAAGCCCCGGCUAACUUCGUGCCAGCAGCCGCGGUAAUACGAAGGGGGCUAGCGUUGUUCGGAUUUACUGGGCGUAAAGCGCACGUAGGCGGACUAUUAAGUCAGGGGUGAAAUCCCGGGGCUCAACCCCGGAACUGCCUUUGAUACUGGUAGUCUUGAGUUCGAGAGAGGUGAGUGGAAUUCCGAGUGUAGAGGUGAAAUUCGUAGA